Molecule: ribosomal RNA, 339 nt
Filed under: Triticum aestivum (bread wheat)
Lineage: Eukaryota; Viridiplantae; Streptophyta; Magnoliopsida; Poales; Poaceae
Description: partial small subunit ribosomal RNA
Source: RNAcentral
AUGGCAUCCAAAGCUGCCCUCUUCGUGGCCCUGAGCCUCCUCCUCUCCGCCGUCGCCGCCCACAGCUGCGGAAGCACCUAUUGCCAACCGCCGGUCGUCGUGCCGACACCACCCGUCGUCGUUCCGCCGCCAUACCAUGGAGGAGGAGGGCACGGCCACGGCCACGGCGGGCAGUGCUCCAUCAACGGGUUGGCCGACCUGGACGCCGCCGUCUGCCUCUGCACCGCCGUCAGGGCCAACAUCCUCGGCCUCCACCUCAACGUGCCUGUGGACAUCAGCCUCCUCCUCAACCACUGCGGCAAGACGCGCCCGUCCAAUUUCAUUUGCCCAGCCCAUUAA